GUUGUGGCCGAGUGGUUAAGGCGAUAGACUAGAAAUCUAUUGGGAUCUUCCCGCACAGGUUUGAAUCAUGCCGACAACG
RNAcentral lists this transfer RNA (79 nucleotides) under Dreissena polymorpha. RNAcentral describes it as "tRNA-Ser". It matches the Rfam family "tRNA". From Rfam's summary of the family: Transfer RNA (tRNA) molecules are approximately 80 nucleotides in length. Their secondary structure includes four short double-helical elements and three loops (D, anti-codon, and T loops). Lineage: Eukaryota; Metazoa; Mollusca; Bivalvia; Myida; Dreissenidae. The record is from RNAcentral.